AAUCAACGCUGGCGGCGCGCCUAACACAUGCAAGUCGAACGAGAAAGUGGAGCAAUCCAUGAGUAAAGUGGCGUACGGGUGAGUAACACGUGGAUAAUCUGCCCUUUAGUGGGGAAUACCGUUGGGAAACCGACGACAAUACCGCAUAAUCUCGAGAGAGGAAAGCAGCAAUGCGCUGAAGGAGGAGUCCGCGGUCGAUUAGCUAGUUGGUGAGGUAAUGGCUCACCAAGGCUGUGAUCGAUAGCCGGCCUGAGAGGGCACACGGCCACACUGGCACUGAAACACGGGCCAGACUCCUACGGGAGGCAGCAGUGGGGAAUCUUGCACAAUGGGGGAAACCCUGAUGCAGCGACGCCGCGUGAGCGAUGAAGCCCUUCGGGGUGUAAAGCUCUUUCGGCAGGGAAGAUAAUGACGGUACCUGCAGAAGCAGCUGCGGCUAACUACGUGCCAGCAGCCG
Molecule: ribosomal RNA, 457 nt
Filed under: uncultured bacterium
Lineage: Bacteria
Description: bacterial SSU rRNA
Rfam family: Bacterial small subunit ribosomal RNA
Source: RNAcentral